AGAGUUUGAUCAUGGCUCAGAAUGAACGUUGGCGGCAUGGAUUAGGCAUGCAAGUCGAGCGAGAAGUUUUAGUUUGACGCUUCGGUUGAUUUCUAAGACGGACAGCGGCGCAAGGGAGAGUAACGCGUAGUUAUCUACCCUGAGGCCCGGAAUAGCUGCGGGAAACUGCAGGUAAUGCCGGAUAAUAUCCCCGGAUCAAAGGUGUGAUUCCGCCUCGGGAGGAGACUGCGUUGUACUAGCUUGUUGGUGGGGUAAUGGCCUACCAAGGCUUUGAUGCAUAGCGGGCGUGAGAGCGUGGCCCGUCUCACUGGGACUGAAACACUGCCCAGACACCUACGGGUGGCUGCAGUCGAGAAUCUUCGGCAAUGGGCGAAAGCCUGACCGAGCGAUGCCGCGUGCGGGAUGAAGGCCUUCGGGUUGUAAACCGCUGUCAGUAGGGAGGAAGGCUUCGUGAAGAGCGAAGUUUGACCUAUCUUCAGAGGAAGUCCGGGCUAAGUUCGUGCCAGCAGCCGCGGUAACACGAACCGGACAAACGUUAUUCGGAAUUAUUGGGCUUAAAGGGUGCGUAGGCGGCUUAGUAGGUGGGGGUGUGAAAUCCCUCGGCUCAACCGAGGAAUUGCGCCUCAAACCCCUAAGCUAGAGGGAGACAGAGGUAAGCGGAACUGAUGGUGGAGCGGUGAAAUGCGUUGAUAUCAUCNNNNNNACCAGUUGCGAAGGCGGCUUACUGGGUCUCUUCUGACGCUGAGGCACGAAAGCUAGGGUAGCGAACGGGAUUAGAUACCCCGGUAGUCCUAGCUGUAAACGAUGAGCACUUGGUUGAGGGCCCCCCCAUAGGCUCUCGACCGUAGCGAAA
RNAcentral lists this ribosomal RNA (853 nucleotides) under uncultured bacterium. RNAcentral's name for it is "bacterial SSU rRNA". It matches the Rfam family "Bacterial small subunit ribosomal RNA", at positions 8 to 856 of the family's 1533-position model. The record is from RNAcentral.